GCGGGUGUAGUUUAGUGGUAAAACCUUUGCCUUCCAAGCAAAUGAUAGGGGUUCGAUUCCCCUCACCCGCU
Molecule: transfer RNA, 71 nt
Filed under: Aphanothece hegewaldii CCALA 016
Lineage: Bacteria; Bacillati; Cyanobacteriota; Cyanophyceae; Chroococcales; Aphanothecaceae
Rfam family: tRNA
About the family: Transfer RNA (tRNA) molecules are approximately 80 nucleotides in length. Their secondary structure includes four short double-helical elements and three loops (D, anti-codon, and T loops).
Source: Rfam by way of RNAcentral